Molecule: long non-coding RNA, 362 nt
Filed under: Cyanistes caeruleus (blue tit)
Lineage: Eukaryota; Metazoa; Chordata; Aves; Passeriformes; Paridae
Description: lncRNA (ENSCCEG00000012511.1)
Source: RNAcentral
CAAAUCCUUUCUCUCUGAACCACGGAGGCCACUUUUCCUUCCUUGCACUCCUACUAAAAUACUGAUAUCCUCUGUAUAUUGUGGAAGAGCUGGAGAAGAGACCUUUAGUAGGCAGCUGAAAAACUCUAAGAGAAAAGGAAAACAGAAAGGGUCCUAAGAGCUAAUUGACCAAAGCCAUGGAAAACAAAAUGAGGUCACUCAUAGCACAGACACUUUGUGCCUGGGCCCUGUUUGCACCUAACAUCGGUAAAACUGUCUUUUCUUAAAAGAUGCAAGUAUUGGGAAGUGGCAAAGAAGACCUUCGAAGGCUUAGGUAAGAAGUCCUCAUUUCAUAUAAGAACUCACAUCCUUUCCUGUGAAAU